GUGAUCAUUUCAGCAGCACAUAUACUAAAAUUAGAACGAUACAGAGAAGAUUAGCGUGGCCUCUGAGCAACAAUGACACGCAAAUUAGUGAAAUGUUCCAUAUUUUU
Trichechus manatus latirostris (Florida manatee) is the source of this 107-nucleotide small nuclear RNA. The record is from RefSeq and is a predicted model, not a curated record. NCBI's taxonomy places the organism in Eukaryota, Metazoa, Chordata, Mammalia, Sirenia, Trichechidae.